CCUACGGGAGGCAGCAGUGGGGAAUAUUGCACAAUGGGGGAAACCCUGAUGCAGCGACGCCGCGUGAGUGAAGAAGUAUUUCGGUAUGUAAAGCUCUAUCAGCAGGGAAGAAAAUGACGGUACCUGAUCAAGAAGCCCCGGCUAACUACGUGCCAGCAGCCGCGGUAAUACGUAGGGGGCAAGCGUUAUCCGGAUUUACUGGGUGUUAAGGGAGCGUAGAGGGCAGCACAAGUCUGGAGUGAAAUGCCGGGGCUUAACCCCGGAACUGCUUUGGAAACUGUGCAGCUAGAGUGCAGGAGAGGUAAGUGGAAUUCGUAGUGUAGCGGUGAAAUGCGUAGAUAUUAGGAAGAACACCAGUGGCGAAGGCAGCUUACUGGACUGUAACUGACGUUGAGGCUCGAAAGCGUGGGGAGCAAACAGGAUUAGAUACCCCUGUAGUC
Molecule: ribosomal RNA, 440 nt
Filed under: uncultured bacterium
Lineage: Bacteria
Description: partial 16S ribosomal RNA
Rfam family: Bacterial small subunit ribosomal RNA
Source: RNAcentral